CUACGUAGGGGGCGAACGUUAUCCGGAAUGAUUGGGCGUAAAGGGUACGUAGGCGGCAAGAUAAGUCAGGUGUGAAAGCCCACAGCUUAACUGUGGUAAGCACUUGAAACUGUCGAGCUUGAGGGAAGGAGAGGAAAGUGGAAUUCCUAGUGUAGCGGUGAAAUGCGUAGAUAUUAGGAGGAAUACCGGUGGCGAAGGCGACUUUCUGGACUUUUACUGACGCUGAGGUACGAAAGCGUGGGGAGCAAACAGGAUUAGAUACCCUGGUAGUCCACGCUGUAAAUGGUGAGUGCUAGGUGUCGGGAGUCAAAUCUCGGUGCCGACGUUAACACAUUAAGCACUCCGCCUGGGGAGUACGCACGCAAGUGUGAA
This 372-nucleotide ribosomal RNA is filed under the name uncultured bacterium. RNAcentral describes it as "bacterial SSU rRNA". It matches the Rfam family "Bacterial small subunit ribosomal RNA", at positions 523 to 898 of the family's 1533-position model. The record is from RNAcentral.